Molecule: long non-coding RNA, 333 nt
Filed under: Rattus norvegicus (Norway rat)
Lineage: Eukaryota; Metazoa; Chordata; Mammalia; Rodentia; Muridae
Description: long non-coding RNA NONRATT017227
Source: RNAcentral
CCUCCUCACCAGCCUCACCAGCCACACCCCCACCUCUGCCAUCACGUGCGACACAGAGGCUCACAGAAAAGGGCGCCUGCGCGGUCUUCAAUGCCAAACAAACCUUUGAGCGGAAUCGAGUUGUGAUGGAGGCUUUGGGUGGAGGGAACCUUCAGGGGCUUCCUUGCCCAUCUGCUUAUCUCAAAGCCAAAGCUAUGAAAGCCGUCUCCGUUCCCCCGAAUUAUCAGGGGAGGGGGAGAAAAGGAUUCUGUAUUUCAACGUCCUUCCUAGACUCCAAUCGCCACCUUUGUUGCUGCUAUUCAAGUAUUAAAGGUCAUAGCAGCUCGCCCGGCA